RNAcentral lists this ribosomal RNA (1482 nucleotides) under Lophogobius cyprinoides (crested goby). RNAcentral's name for it is "partial 16S ribosomal RNA". It matches the Rfam family "Bacterial large subunit ribosomal RNA", at positions 405 to 2574 of the family's 2925-position model. The record is from RNAcentral. Lineage: Eukaryota; Metazoa; Chordata; Actinopteri; Gobiiformes; Gobiidae.
ACCCCCAGCAACUAGCCCCGCCCCUUAAAACCAACACACCCACAUAAAUACCCCCCAAUGAAGACUCAGAUCUUAGACUAAAGCAUUCUUCCCCCCUAGUACGUGAGACGGAAAAGAGAAUAUGGGAGCCAUAGAAAAAGUACCGCAAGGGAAAUAUGAAAGAGAGCUGAAAAAGCCCAGUCAAGGACUUAAAAGCAGAGAUCAAACCUCGUACCUUUUGCAUCAUGAUUUAGCAAGAAAGACUCAAGCAAAGGGACCUUUACGUUUGAGCCCCCGAAACUAAGCGAGCUACUCCAAGACAGCCUAUCGUAGGGCGAACCCGUCUCUGUGGCAAAAGAGUGGGAAGAACUUCGAGUAGAGGUGACAAACCUACCGAGCCUAGUUAUAGCUGGUUGCCUGAGAGCUGAAUAUGAGUUCAACCUUUUGAGCUGCUCACCCCACCGUAUUAUUGUACCCCCAGGGUUAAAGCAACCAAAAGAUAUAGUCAAGAGGGGAACAGCUCUCUUGAAAAUAAGAAACAACUUUUAAAGCAGGUUAAAGAUCAUAAUACCAAAGGAUACACACCCGAGUGGGCCUGAAAGCAGCCACCCCAUAAGAAAGCGUCAAAGCUCAAGUGCACGUCUUCCCCCCGUAAUACUGAUUUCAAUAUCUUAAACCCCUUAAAUAUAUCAGGCCGCUCCAUGCAGACAUGGAAGAGAUAAUGCUAAUAUGAGUAACCAGAGGGCCAGACCCUCUCGAACACAGCCCUGUAAAUCAGAGCGAACCCGCACUGAGAAUUAACGACCCCCCCCCCAAAGAGGGCAUUGGACCAAAGAAAUUGACAAUCAAGAAAUAUCCCCAAUCAUAACCGUUAACCCCACACAGGCCUGCUAUACGAAAGACAAAAAGAGAGAGAAGGAACUCGGCAAACACUAGUCUCGCCUGUUUACCAAAAACAUCGCCUCUUGCUUGCUCGAGUAUAAGAGGUCCCGCCUGCCCUGUGACGGAAGUUUAACGGCCGCGGUAUUCUGACCGUGCGAAGGUAGCGCAAUCAAUUGUUUUUUAAAUGGAGACCUGUAUGAAUGGCAUAACGAAGGCUAAACUGUCUCCUCCCUCCUGUCAGUGAAAUUGAUCUUCCCGUGCAGAAGCGGGAAUAGACCCAUAAGACGAGAAGACCCUAUGGAGCUUUAGACACCAGGGCAACCCACAUAACUCUGCCCCCACCCCUUCAGAACCAAAGUGGCCCCUGCCCCCAAGUCUUUGGUUGGGGCGACCACGGAGAAACAACUAACCCCCGAGAGGAAAGGGAAACCCCCUAUGUUAGAACCACCAUUCUCACAGUCAGAAAAUCUGUCCGAAAUGACCCGGCUUAGGCCGAUCAACGGAUCCAGUUACCCUAGGGAUAACAGCGCAAUCCACUCCAAGAGCCCAUAUCGACGAGGGGGUUUACGACCUCGAUGUUGGAUCAGGACAUCCUAUUGGUGCAGCCGCUAUUAAGGGUUC